Molecule: long non-coding RNA, 254 nt
Filed under: Elaeis guineensis (African oil palm)
Lineage: Eukaryota; Viridiplantae; Streptophyta; Magnoliopsida; Arecales; Arecaceae
Description: long non-coding RNA (EGUI_LNC028859)
Source: RNAcentral
CUAACGGCAAAUGCCUGACGCCGUCUUCGGUCCCCUGCCUGCGCCCUCGACCACCCCAUUCGUUGAGUCCGUACACUCGGCGGUCAAUUAUUGCCUGGCCCCGGGCGACGUGGCGGAAAACGGUUCGCCGCUUAUCCGACGUGGCGAUCCGGACUUGGAGGCGCGACUUAACCGCCGAUUUUAAAGCGGGCGCGUUCGCUCCCGCGUUUCCGCGUCGCGCGUUCCCGCAACACGACAAAUGAGGGCGUCGAAAA